RNAcentral lists this ribosomal RNA (1383 nucleotides) under uncultured bacterium. Its description in RNAcentral is "bacterial SSU rRNA". It matches the Rfam family "Bacterial small subunit ribosomal RNA". The record is from RNAcentral.
GAAUUCGCCCUUAGAGUUUGAUCCUGGCUCAGGACGAACGCUGGCGGCGCGCCUAACACAUGCAAGUCGAACGAGCGAGAGAGAGCUUGCUUUCUUGAGCGAGGGGCGAACGGGUGAGUAACACGUGAGGAACCUGCCUCAAAGAGGGGGACAACAGUUGGAAACGACUGCUAAUACCGCAUAAGCCCACGACCCGGCAUCGGGUAGAGGGAAAAGGAGCAAUCCGCUUUGAGAUGGCCUCGCGUCCGAUUAGCUAGUUGGUGAGGUAACGGCCCACCAAGGCGACGAUCGGUAGCCGGACUGAGAGGUUGAACGGCCACAUUGGGACUGAGACACGGCCCAGACUCCUACGGGAGGCAGCAGUGGGGAAUAUUGCACAAUGGGGGAAACCCUGAUGCAGCGACGCCGCGUGGAGGAAGAAGGUCUUCGGAUUGUAAACUCCUGUUGUUGAGGAAGAUAAUGACGGUACUCAACAAGGAAGUGACGGCUAACUACGUGCCAGCAGCCGCGGUAAAACGUAGGUCACAAGCGUUGUCCGGAAUUACUGGGUGUAAAGGGAGCGCAGGCGGGAAGACAAGUUGGAAGUGAAAUCCAUGGGCUCAACCCAUGAACUGCUUUCAAAACUGUUUUUCUUGAGUAGUGCAGAGGUAGGCGGAAUUCCCGGUGUAGCGGUGGAAUGCGUAGAUAUCGGGAGGAACACCAGUGGCGAAGGCGGCCUACUGGGCACCAACUGACGCUGAGGCUCGAAAGUGUGGGUAGCAAACAGGAUUAGAUACCCUGGUAGUCCACACUGUAAACGAUGAUUACUAGGGUUGGAAGGAUUGACCCCUUCAGUGCCGCAGUUAACACAAUAAGUAAUCCACCUGGGGAGUACGCCCGCAAGGUUGAAACUCAAAGGGAAUUGACGGGGGCCCGCACAAGCAGUGGAGUAUGUGGGUUUAAUUCGACGCAACGCGAAGAACCUUACCAAGUCUUGACAUCCCUUGACAGACAUAGAAAUAUGUAAUCUCUUCGGAGCAAGGAGACAGGUGGUGCAUGGUUGUCGUCAGCUCGUGUCGUGAGAUGUUGGGUUAAGUCCCGCAACGAGCGCAACCCCUAUUGUUAGUUGCUACGCAAGAGCACUCUAGCGAGACUGCCGUUGACAAAACGGAGGAAGGCGGGGACGACGUCAAAUCAUCAUGCCCCUUAUGUCCCGGGCUACACACGUAAUACAAUGGCGUAAACAAAGGGAAGCGAGAUCGUGAGAUGGAGCAAAUCCCAAAAAUAACGUCCCAGUUCGGACUGUAGUCUGCAACCCGACUACACGAAGCUGGAAUCGCUAGUAAUCGCGGAUCAGAAUGCCGCGGUGAAUACGUUCCCGGGUCUUGUACUAACCGCCCGUCA